UCUCCUUCCAUGCUCCCCGUCGGGCACCGCCGCCUCCCCUCUCCUCUCCGGCUCCCCUCCCCACCCCUCACCCCUCCGCACGGCACGGGCCGGCGUUGAUACGGCGGGUCGCGGCUUACCUCCCGCAGCUGCUCAUCGGUGAGAGCAUCCUCGAAGGCCUCCUCCUCCUCCUGCUGCUGCUCCGGCCUUGGAGCCUCCCCGCCGGCCGUGGCCCCCGCUUGCUCCUCGGGCGCCUGCGGCAACGAGGCAUACACCACCUCCCCGGCGACCACGACGGUUGCCGGCUCCUCGGAACCGGCGGGGAGGGUUGCGUCGCCUUCUCGAGCUCCAACUUUGACUCUAGCUCGAUCAGCACAGGGAGGGGCGCGUCGCCAUGGAGGAGGAAGGGGAGGAGGCCACGCCGCCGGCCGCGGCGCUGGGCAAGGCGGAGGCGGAGCCGGUGGCGGUGCCGCCGCCGGAUCCGUUCGCGCAGCUCGACGUGACGCGCAAGAUCACCUCCAUCGCGCUGUCGUCCCGCCUCGGCUGCGCUCUGCCCGUUGUUCAUCGAGCAAUGGUCGCUUCGCUGGCGGCGAACAUCCGACAGAUGCACGGCAAGAGCAAAAGGGGAUUGAUGAUCGAUGAUGGCCGUGUAUAGGUGGCUACAGGAACCAGUGGAGGAGAUGGUUUGCAAGCGCCUCGUGGUGCUCCUAAAUUCUUGCUUGGAAGACUCCUUCGCACACUUUGCUGGGCAUCCAACAUAAUAAAAGUAGCUCAGACCAAGUCCUGUUAUCUGUUAUCGGUAAAGCUUUUGCCAGAGUCUUGAGAUAUUGAAGGAUGAUGGCUAUAAUGAGGAUGACAUGGCAAAUGUAAUGAGGUGGUCAGAGUUCUGAAGAUGCUUGUGCACACAUGUUCAGCGAUCAAGCGAUGCCGAUCAAUGCAAGAUCCAGCUGACUGAAACAAUAAUCUCAGUAAUGGAUUUACCACCUGGUAGUGUUAGCACUUGUCAGCCCCGCGUUGCAGCUGACACUCUGGACUCUGAGCAGUUCAAACCGUUCAAAACUUGCUAUGUGACGAGUGGAGCACAAGCAAACAACUCCUCAGCCCUCUUUACAUGUAUGAAAAGAAUGUAGCUUGCGCAAGUUAAAAUGUUGUACCAUAUUUCAUUAAACUCUCAGCUUCCUUA
Panicum virgatum (switchgrass) is the source of this 1162-nucleotide RNA transcript. RefSeq lists it as uncharacterized. Lineage: Eukaryota; Viridiplantae; Streptophyta; Magnoliopsida; Poales; Poaceae. The record is from RefSeq and is a predicted model, not a curated record. The transcript is spliced from 4 exons.